GGCUCCAUAGUUCAGCUGGUUAGAAUACACGCCUGUCACGCGUGAGGUCGGGGGUUCGAUUCCCUCUGGAGUCGCCA
Molecule: transfer RNA, 77 nt
Filed under: compost metagenome
Description: tRNA-Asp
Rfam family: tRNA
About the family: Transfer RNA (tRNA) molecules are approximately 80 nucleotides in length. Their secondary structure includes four short double-helical elements and three loops (D, anti-codon, and T loops).
Source: RNAcentral